This 459-nucleotide long non-coding RNA is filed under the name Sus scrofa (pig). RNAcentral's name for it is "lncRNA (ENSSSCG00025073974.1)". Lineage: Eukaryota; Metazoa; Chordata; Mammalia; Artiodactyla; Suidae. The record is from RNAcentral.
GUUUCGCCAAGACUGGGGCUUGGAAAGCUGUACAGAGCUGCAAUCUUGACGCGACUCCUAAAGGCUCCAGUGGCUUACCCUCUCCCUUUCCUUUUGCCCUGCAGAUGUUUGAUUCCUUGGGCAUGUCACAGUGAUGCUGUUACUGGGUGAUAUUGCUGUCCAAAUCUUGACACAGAAAGUGAGGUCCUUCACCUCAAAGAACCAUACUCACUGGAAAAGAAAAUCGGUGUCUUUUGUUGAGCUGGAUGAAGCGAGGUUGUUGAACUUAAAGUCCAAAGAGUCCCCUGUUUUUAUUUUAUUUCUAUCAAAGUAUUACCCAUAUCAAGUAACACUUCAAGACUUCAAAAUUGGGAGUUUUGAGAGUGAAGGGGACAAUAGAAACAAAAUUAUGCCAGACUGUCAAGGAUGAACUAGGACUGUCCCAGACAAACCCUACUAAUAAAAAAUAGAUCUUCUCCA